RNAcentral lists this ribosomal RNA (460 nucleotides) under uncultured bacterium. Its description in RNAcentral is "partial 16S ribosomal RNA". It matches the Rfam family "Bacterial small subunit ribosomal RNA", at positions 338 to 795 of the family's 1533-position model. The record is from RNAcentral.
CCUACGGGUGGCUGCAGUGAGGAAUAUUGGUCAAUGGCCGAAAGGCUGAACCAGCCAAGUCGCGUGCGGGAUGAAUGCCCUACGGGUUGUAAACUUCUUUUGUCCGGGAGUAAAGCCCCUCACGUGUAGGGGUUGGCAUGUACCUUAUGAAAAAGGACCGGCUAACUCCGUGCCAGCAGCCGCGGUAAUACGGAGGAUGCGGGCGUUAUCCGGAUUUAUUGGGUUUAAAGGGAGGGUAGGCCGAGUAUCAAGGCUGCUGUGAAAUGUUCGGGCUCAACCCGCUCCUGGCAGGGGAAACUGGUGUGUUUGAGUGGGCGAGAAGCAGGCGGAAUGCGUGGUGUAGCGGUGAAAUGCAUAGAUAUGACGAAGAACCCCGAUUGCGAAGGCAGCAUGCCGGCGCGGAACUGACGCUGAUGCACGAAAGCGUGGGUAUCGAACAGGAUUAGAUACCCGUGUAGUC